GGUGAACGCUGGCGGCGUGCCUAAUACAUGCAAGUCGAGCGAACGGACGAGAAGCUUGCUUCUCUGAUGUUAGCGGCGGACGGGUGAGUAACACGUGGAUAACCUACCUAUAAGACUGGGAUAACUUCGGGAAACCGGAGCUAAUACCGGAUAAUAUUUUGAACCGCAUGGUUCAAAAGUGAAAGACGGUCUUGCUGUCACUUAUAGAUGGAUCCGAGCUGCAUUAGCUAGUUGGUAAGGUAACGGCUUACCAAGGCAACGAUGCAUAGCCGACCUGAGAGGGUGAUCGGCCACACUGGAACUGAGACACGGUCCAGACUCCUACGGGAGGCAGCAGUAGGGAAUCUUCCGCAAUGGGCGAAAGCCUGACGGAGCAACGCCGCGUGAGUGAUGAAGGUCUUCGGAUCGUAAAACUCUGUUAUUAGGGAAGAACAUAUGUGUAAGUAACUGUGCACAUCUUGACGGUACCUAAUCAGAAAGCCACGGCUAACUACGUG
This 497-nucleotide ribosomal RNA is filed under the name uncultured bacterium. Its description in RNAcentral is "partial 16S ribosomal RNA". It matches the Rfam family "Bacterial small subunit ribosomal RNA", at positions 28 to 507 of the family's 1533-position model. The record is from RNAcentral.